This 301-nucleotide ribosomal RNA is filed under the name uncultured bacterium. RNAcentral's name for it is "partial 16S ribosomal RNA". It matches the Rfam family "Bacterial small subunit ribosomal RNA", at positions 509 to 807 of the family's 1533-position model. The record is from RNAcentral.
CAGUCGCCGCGGUAAUACGUAGGUGGCAAGCGUUGUCCGGAAUUAUUGGGCGUAAAGCGCGCGCAGGUGGUUUAAUAAGUCUGAUGUGAAAGCCCACGGCUCAACCGUGGAGGGUCAUUGGAAACUGUUAAACUUGAGUGCAGGAGAGAAAAGUGGAAUUCCUAGUGUAGCGGUGAAAUGCGUAGAGAUUAGGAGGAACACCAGUGGCGAAGGCGGCUUUUUGGCCUGUAACUGACACUGAGGCGCGAAAGCGUGGGGAGCAAACAGGAUUAGAUACCCCCGUAGUCCCUGUCUCUUAUAC